GUUCAACUACGCGUCUUGAUCAGUUCACACCUUUACACCAACGUCUGAGAAAGCAAAGCUUUGAACAAAGAAGAUCCUAAUCCAGAAAAAUGGUUCUCACACAGCUUGACCUGCACGUGAAAUCUUUUUCAAUGGAGUCACUCAUCAGCAGGAUGAAGCGAGCAUUCAGCAUGGAUGGAAAGUGGAUCUCAUUUCAGUCUCAAUCUACAAAAGCCCCUGGGUAAUUCCUUCAGUGAUUUCUGCUUUAUCUUCCCACUUCAUGAGGAAGUCGGUUCAAACCUGACCCUUCUCAAUACGUCGCUAAGUAACACUCACUGCUGCAUUACAAAGAAUGUGCGUUCGAGCAACAAAAGCCUAAGGUAAAGUUUGGCAGAGGAUCUUCAGAAACGAAGUUCAACUACGCGUCUUGAUCAGUACACACCUUUACACCAACGUCUGAGAAAGCAAAGCUUUGAACAAAGAAGAUCCUAAUCCAGAAAAAUGGUUCUCACACAGCUUGACCUGCACGUGAAAUCUUUUUCAAUGGAGUCACUCAUCAGCAGGAUGAAGCGAGCAUUCAGCAUGGAUGGAAAGUGGAUCUCAUUUCAGUCUCAAUCUACAAAAGCCCCUGGAUCUUCAGAGAAUGAGAUAAAAUCUGGCACUGACGCCAUGCCUGCAUCAGCAAUCUGCUUCACAGUCAGACCACCAGCAUGACUGUCAAUUGAAGCAGAGCCACCAGCAAGUUGGCACUUUAUGAUAGUGACGUGUGUUUGGUACAGGGAUGGAAGGAAUGGAAACACAUUCGAUCAUCGCAUGCUUGUCAUGGACUCAGUGCUGUUCCAGAAUGGGAGCACAGUAGUCAUGUGGAACCUGAGAAGGCUGCUGAAAAGAUAGAGCCGGAGUGAACACGGACAAGUUCAAGAUGGUAGAUGAGAAGAAGUGGGCACACAGCAGCCCUACUGGCUGGCAAAGUGUGUGUAUUGAGCUCAAAUUAAUAUAGGACUAACUGGGUUUGAGAAUGUUAUAUCAUGUUAUGUUUUAGAAAAUAAAGUUUAUUGAUUCAGACCUUACAUUUAGUACUUGUAUGUGGUUAGUUUAGGAAUUUCCAUCAAAGCCAUUGCUUCCCUGAUAAAACAGCAGCACAGCCAUGAUUGAAUGUUCCAGAAGAUAUAGCAUCUGUAUGACUUCACGCCAUUACGUGUGGCUCCUGCUUGAACCAUUAACUCUAUUAGCGUAUAUUCCUCAUCUGUCUCAUUAUUGCAAAAUAUGUUACUUGCUAGAGAAAACAGUUUCUGAAAAGAGUGCCAAACUACAAUUCCAUUGGUCCAACACCAUGUUGAGAAAAACAUCUUUGUGAUCUUUAACUGACGUAUAAAAGUAAAAAACUA
Long non-coding RNA from Polypterus senegalus (gray bichir), 1367 nucleotides. RefSeq lists it as uncharacterized. NCBI's taxonomy places the organism in Eukaryota, Metazoa, Chordata, Cladistia, Polypteriformes, Polypteridae. The transcript has 4 exons. The record is from RefSeq and is a predicted model, not a curated record.